UCCGUAGGCGGGCAAUUAAGUCAGAGGUGAAAUCCCACAGCUCAACUGUGGAACUGCCUUUGAUACUGGUUGUCUUGAGUUACAGUGAAGUAGAUAGAAUAUGUAGUGUAGCGGUGAAAUGCAUAGAUAUUACAUAGAAUACCGAUUGCGAAGGCAGUCUACUAACUGUAUACUGAAGCUAAUGGACGAAAGCGUGGGGAGCGAACAGGAUUAGAUACCCUGGUAGUCC
This 229-nucleotide ribosomal RNA is filed under the name uncultured bacterium. Its description in RNAcentral is "partial 16S ribosomal RNA". It matches the Rfam family "Bacterial small subunit ribosomal RNA", at positions 568 to 796 of the family's 1533-position model. The record is from RNAcentral.